This 268-nucleotide ribosomal RNA is filed under the name Bryoria sp. Wang 04-23187. RNAcentral's name for it is "partial 18S ribosomal RNA". Lineage: Eukaryota; Fungi; Ascomycota; Lecanoromycetes; Lecanorales; Parmeliaceae. The record is from RNAcentral.
UCGUAACAGGUUUCCGUAGGUAGCAUGUUUGCCUGCCGGGAGUCCUCACAGCGACUCUAAAGAAUUGUGUUAGUCGCCCCUCGAUUUGGGGCUGGCAACGCCAUCAUUCUGCGCUGGAAGUCCCCCAAUUGAGGGGGCAAUCAGCAGCUCCGGAGACCCCUCCGGAGUUCACAGAUCAAACGAUAGCGGCCACUUCGGUGGUUGAGAUAUGAUCGGCCUCUGCCAUCAACCGGCCAGAGAGUUCGUGGAACCUGCGGAAGGAUCAUUA